GUUCUCGUAGUUGAAUACAACGGUGGGUUUUCAAUCCACUAGUCCUGGUUAAAGUCCAGGUGAGAAUU
This 68-nucleotide transfer RNA is filed under the name Aphanotorulus emarginatus. RNAcentral's name for it is "tRNA-Glu". It matches the Rfam family "tRNA". From Rfam's summary of the family: Transfer RNA (tRNA) molecules are approximately 80 nucleotides in length. Their secondary structure includes four short double-helical elements and three loops (D, anti-codon, and T loops). Further hydrogen bonds mediate the characteristic L-shaped molecular structure. tRNAs have two regions of fundamental functional importance: the anti-codon, which is responsible for specific mRNA codon recognition, and the 3' end, to which the tRNAs corresponding amino acid is attached (by aminoacyl-tRNA synthetases). tRNAs cope with the degeneracy of the genetic code in two manners: having more than one tRNA (with a specific anti-codon) for a particular amino acid; and 'wobble' base-pairing, i.e. permitting non-standard base-pairing at the 3rd anti-codon position. Lineage: Eukaryota; Metazoa; Chordata; Actinopteri; Siluriformes; Loricariidae. The record is from RNAcentral.